Molecule: transfer RNA, 84 nt
Filed under: Felis catus (domestic cat)
Lineage: Eukaryota; Metazoa; Chordata; Mammalia; Carnivora; Felidae
Rfam family: tRNA
About the family: Transfer RNA (tRNA) molecules are approximately 80 nucleotides in length. Their secondary structure includes four short double-helical elements and three loops (D, anti-codon, and T loops).
Source: Rfam by way of RNAcentral
GCCUGGGUGGCUCAGUGUGUUGAGCAUCCGACUUUGGCUCAGGUCAUGAUUUCGUGGUUUGUGGGUUCGAGCCCAUGUCAGGCU